Molecule: ribosomal RNA, 206 nt
Filed under: uncultured fungus
Lineage: Eukaryota; Fungi
Description: partial 18S ribosomal RNA
Rfam family: Eukaryotic small subunit ribosomal RNA
Source: RNAcentral
CUGGUCUUAUUGGUUCUCACCUUCUAAAGAACCAUGAUGUCAUUCAUUUGAUGUUAUGGGGAAUUAGGACUGUUACCUUGAAAAAAUUAGAGUGUUUAAAGCAAGCUUACGCUUGAAUGCAUUAGCAUGGAAUAAUGAAAUAGGACAUCAGAUUCUAUUUUGUUGGUUUCUAGGAUCGAUGUAAUGAUUAAUAGGGAUAGUUGGGA